GCACGCACGCCCCGGCCGCCCGCUGAAGGAAAGACCGCUGGAAGUAUUGUGAAUCCCCACGCGAAAAUUCAGCAGUUUUUUCUCCCCCUCCCUUCUCUGUAUCAUUAUUUCUAGUUAGGAUUUGCGUUUGCUCGCCGUUGUUUGUGUUGUGGACUGUGGGAGAUCGUGAAUGGAUGGGUCCGGGGCCUGCUUUGGUCCAGAUCUGAGGCCCAGUUUUUCCUCUUGUAGUGCCAAUGUUCUUGGAUGUUCAGUGUGAGCGGCAUCGGUGUUCCUCAUACUUUGGCUGCGAGUGUUUUUUUCUGAAUGGGAAGCCCCCGACAGGCGAAGGUAGCCGGCAGUUCUGGCUGUGGAUGGUAAACUGUGAAUAGAUGUGAGUGGUGUACAGUGAAUAGAUGUUAGACAAACAGUGUAUAGUUGUGAAUGGUAAAACCAUGCAUAGAUUAGACGUGUGUUUUGGAUAGUAUUCAGCAGAAUGGAUACGCAGACCUGCAUAUAUUUUAUCUGUUUUCCAAAUAGAUUAAGUGAAAAACUACAGUUUUAAUGAGCUUGUACUGAGGCGGAUGUUUCUGAUCUUUAUUGACGCCAAGCUGACGUUUUUGUAUUGAUCAUGCCCCAGUGAUUAUGUAUGCUGAACUUUACAGAAAAAAAUGUGGCACAGACGGCAUACUUACUAAGGAUUCAAAAUCCUAAAUAAGUUCGUUUGCUCGACCCUUGAUUGUCGAACACGUGGCCUGGAUUCAAGAUUGUUGAACCGUUUUUUCAAGUUUUCAGGGUUUAGUGGCUGAGGCGAAUGGAUCAUACCGUACUUUUUCAUCCCUUUCUUACUGUUAGGAAUCUUUCCAUUUUUCCACAUACGUACACACUUUAAAAAUAAGAAAUUCAGCUGUGAAUUUCGCACUAAAGGAUGGAUGAGUGUUCAAAUUUCCGCCCCGACUUGACUGUGUGAACUGUUUGUCAUUCGUUAAGGAGGAACAAGACACCCUCAACGAGAUUAUUGAAGUGCCACCGUGGACUUCUCCAUCCAUUUGUUUGUACAUGAACAUGUUUUAUCGUAGCAUUUACGCUGGCGUGUGUGAGUUGGAAUUCGCUGAGGAUCAUAGCUCAGGUUCUUAGACCUCAGCCCCCUCUGCCGUGGUUUCUGGCAGUACGGCCAUGUUCAUCAGGGCUAUUUAUGAUGAGGGCGCGUGUGGGCGGUCAACGCCCCCCGACCCCGCGGUCGGAAAACGCCCCGCCCCUACUACCUAUCUGACCUACGGAGGUUGUAGCGUCCGGACCAGCAGACAGCACGGUUUCCGGACGAGCAGCUGUUCGGCCAUGGCAGACUGGAAGCGCCAUCUGGGACGCCGGAAGCGGUGCCUGACCGAGGGCGACCUCAGCAGCCCUCUCCCGCCCGCCUGCAAGUGGAGGAGACUAGGUAAUUGCUG
This 1424-nucleotide long non-coding RNA is filed under the name Aplysia californica (California sea hare). RNAcentral describes it as "uncharacterized LOC118477417, transcript variant X3". The record is from RNAcentral. Lineage: Eukaryota; Metazoa; Mollusca; Gastropoda; Aplysiida; Aplysiidae.